This is a long non-coding RNA of Aquila chrysaetos chrysaetos, 1681 nucleotides long. RefSeq lists it as uncharacterized. Lineage: Eukaryota; Metazoa; Chordata; Aves; Accipitriformes; Accipitridae. The transcript is spliced from 2 exons. The record is from RefSeq and is a predicted model, not a curated record.
UUUUAUUGUUAGACUGACAGGGAAAACCAUACUCUUCCCUCUGUGUUUUAUCAGGCAGGGCUGGAUUUAGACACCUACUGCCAGUAGAUGGAUCACAAUGCAGAGUCUCGAUCCUGCAAUGAAGCUCCAAAACCCAGAGGAAGAAUCAUUAACUUAUAAUACAACACAUUUCUGAGUCUGCCUUGGUCUCCACAGAUAUGAAGCCCAUGGGAAUAUAUGAAAAGAGCUCUUUCAAACUGUGGCUCGCAAUUGUCUUUUCUUUCUUCAUUUCCUUAAAUCCACCAAAACACUGUGGCAGAUGCCACUAUUCCCUCUCAUUUCCAGCAGUGUAAGAGAAAGUCCAUCAUGAGUGAACAUGAGGGGAAUGGCUACUGAGUUGCCACACCAUCGAAUGAAAGCAUCGCACAGUUGGGUAUCGCAGCAUGCUAAAUAUUAAAUUAGCACCACUGAAAGACAAUUAUGCAUUGCUAGGGAUGUCUUUAAAGAGAAAAAGUAUUUUCUGAUCCUUACUUAUUCACCAGUAUAGCAAAAGUUUCUUCCAUUAGGAAAAAUUUUGUCAUUCUAUCAAACUUUACUAUGCAAUAUUCAAAUAUAAAAAGUUGUGAUAGGGUUAUCAAGAAUAUUCAGGGUAUAUUCCAAAUAAAAAAAACCCAAACAGCUGUCUUUAAAAGCACAUAAAUAUCUAAAUAUAUAGAUGCUUGUGUAAACUGAAGUCUUUCCAGUCACAGAAGUGUAGCUGAGAUGAUUAUUUUUUUAAAUCCAUUUACUUAGUAUCAGUUAUGUAUACUUUCAAUGCUGUCUUCACAGAGGAAGAUUUGGUUUUGUUUGCUUCUACAAAAUUGAAAAAUCCAUUUCUAUUUUCCUCCUGGGAAAGAUGGCUGGAGAGCAUUAAUCUUUGAGCAGAGAGAAAUUAUAGGAGAAGUAAUAAAACCAAACAAAAUAGUAAAUGCUAUAGAAUAUACAUCAAGCACUUCUUUUCACCUUUUCUCCUUAGACAUAGAGAAGGGGCAGCUAGUGAAAAUGAAAUUCAGUUGAAAGUGAAAUUAUUGAUAUGGUUAGAAAAGAUGACUAGACUUUUUUCCUAUACAGCUUCUUAUUGCAGGUUUUCUUGUCCCAUUCUCUGAAGCAAUUGGUUCUAGACACUUUUCCAUACAGGACACCAGGCUCAAGAAACCACUUGAUUUGCACGAACUUUUGCUUUUCUGUUGGUCUGCUCUAAACCAGUUAAUGCAAGGUUUGUUUCUAUGAAAUUACGCAUGCAAACUUUUCUCCUAAAUAUACCUCACUAUUUCCUCUCCUCCCCUGAGUAGACCUACAUUCUUUUAGGCAACUGCUAUGGGACAGUUAAUGUAAUACAUUAAGAUCAUUUAAAGUGUUUGGAUAAAGUCACACUUAACUAUUAUCAGAGUCUCAAUACAUUUUGUCAGCUUUCUGGCAGAACUUGAAAAAAAAUUACUAUGAGAAAGCUUUUGCUUUAUGUGGUCUGAAGAUCAAUGGCAAAUAAAAAAAAGACCCAGAAUAUGCCUGUGCUGGAGUUGUAAUUUAAUGUAUUGCUAACAUCUGCUUUCUUUGUAUGACGAGGCACACUCACACUUUUGUUUGUUCUUUAUUACCAAAAUUUUCAGUCCUUUAUAUGAACUAUGUGUUACUGUCACAUUUAAUAAAGAAAUCCUGCAUAAAA